CUUGUCUAUGUGAAAGCCUUCGGCUCACCGAAGAAGUGCAUUGGAAACUGGGAGACUUGAGUGCAGAAGAGGACAGUGGAACUCCAUGUGUAGCGGUGAAAUGCGUAGAUAUAUGGAAGAACACCAGUGGCGAAGGCGGCUGUCUGGUCUGCAACUGACGCUGAGGCUCGAAAGCAUGGGUAGCGAACAGGAUUAGAUACCCUGGUAGUCCAUGCCGUAAACGAUGAUUACUAAGUGUUGGAGGGUUUCCGCCCUUCAGUGCUGCAGCUAACGCAUUAAGUAAUCCGCCUGGGGAGUACGACCGCAAGGUUGAAACUCAAAAGAAUUGACGGGGGCCCGCACAAGCGGUGGAGCAUGUGGUUUAAUUCGAAGCUACGCGAAGAACCUUACCAGGUCUUGACAUCUUCUGACAGUCUAAGAGAUUAGAGGUUCCCUUCGGGGACAGAAUGACAGGUGGUGCAUGGUUGUCGUCAGCUCGUGUCGUGAGAUGUUGGGUUAAGUCCCGCAACGAGCGCAACCCUUAUUACUAGUUGCCAGCAUUAAGUUGGGCACUCUAGUGAGACUGCCGGUGACAAACCGGAGGAAGGUGGGGACGACGUCAAAUCAUCAUGCCCCUUAUGACCCUGGG
Molecule: ribosomal RNA, 628 nt
Filed under: Pediococcus sp. YCO-25
Lineage: Bacteria; Bacillati; Bacillota; Bacilli; Lactobacillales; Lactobacillaceae
Description: bacterial SSU rRNA
Rfam family: Bacterial small subunit ribosomal RNA
Source: RNAcentral